Sus scrofa (pig) is the source of this 1131-nucleotide long non-coding RNA. RefSeq lists it as uncharacterized. The record is from RefSeq and is a predicted model, not a curated record. Lineage: Eukaryota; Metazoa; Chordata; Mammalia; Artiodactyla; Suidae.
CCCAAGGGAAGAUUUUAAAAAGGUAAGGGAGUUCCUCAUGUGGUGCACUGGGAUCGGCAGCCUUUCUGCAGCGUCAGGAUGCAGGUUUAGAUCCCCCACCGGGCACAGUGGGUUCAAAGGAUCCAGUAGGAGCACUUCUGAGUUGUUCGCCUUCAGGGGAGAACCUCUGACCCUUCAUAAAGACCCACAAGCCUUUCCGCUGCUGUCUAUCUGGACUUCAUCACUGCAGAAAGAGAUUGGGACCACUUCUGGUGACUGACUUUUAGACCUUCUGAUUCUCCUUUCUGCCUUUUGUUUCCUGAAGACUGCAGUUAAUUAACGUGGAAUUGAGGGAGUCGUCAUCCCAAAGCAAAAUGAACUUGUGAGAAUUCUUACCAGGACAGUAAUGAACAAAGAUAUCUACCUUGAACGUAAACCACCAUGAGCCUGGCCUGGCCUUGAAAGAAGAUGAGAAACUUCAUCUGACAGAACACCUUUGAAUUACUGUAGGAGAGUCGCCCGAGUUUGUCUCUCUGGUCAAUUUCCUGAUGCAAGAAAGCUACAGCUGUUAGUUUGGGAAUAAGUUGAUUUUCGUCUUUAGGAAUAUGACUGAUAAAAGAAUAAUUUACUAUUAAAAUUAGCCCCAACUACUCUUGACUCCAUUAAAUACCUACCAUAAAAUGGUGAAGAAAAACCAUUAAAGAUGAUAUGUUUACAUGUUACACUAUGUUCUUAAGUAUUUAAGGUCUACUGGUCUACUGAGAGAGAGAUUGAUUGAUUCGGACAGACUGAUUAUCAAGUCACAUAAAGAAGGAAGUAUGGGCAAGAGAUUGGAGCUAAUGUGUUCAUAAUUUGAAGUAGCACUAAUAACCCCAGGUAUUAAUACCAAAUUUGUUAUAAAACCUCACAUAUCAGCCCUUAUCUUGUUAAGGUUUACAUCUGCCUCUGACGAAGGCAAUGAUCUAAAAGGCCCUCUGGAGUCUUUGGACUUAUCUCCUCAAAGCUAAUUUGUAUCUAGCGCACCUUCACACUCUGCACACAGCAUCUGGUUGUCCCAAGCAGUAUUCUCUUCAAUCCAUCUCUGGCAACAGCAGAAAAAUAUGUCCUUGGCUUUUAAACUCAGGGAGACUCGUGUGGAGAAAUUCUGUUUAA